AUUGAACGCUGGCGGCAGGCCUAACACAUGCAAGUCGAGCGGAUGAAGGGAGCUUGCUCCUGGAUUCAGCGGCGGACGGGUGAGUAAUGCCUAGGAAUCUGCCUGGUAGUGGGGGAUAACGUCCGGAAACGGGCGCUAAUGCCGCAUACGUCCUGAGGGAGAAAGUGGGGGAUCUUCGGACCUCACGCUAUCAGAUGAGCCUAGGUCGGAUUAGCUAGUUGGUGGGGUAAAGGCCUACCAAGGCGACGAUCCGUAACUGGUCUGAGAGGAUGAUCAGUCACACUGGAACUGAGACACGGUCCAGACUCCUACGGGAGGCUGCAGUGGGGAAUAUUGGACAAUGGGCGAAAGCCUGAUCCAGCCAUGCCGCGUGUGUGAAGAAGGUCUUCGGAUUGUAAAGCACUUUAAGUUGGGAGGAAGGGCAGUAAGUUAAUACCUUGCUGUUUUGACGUUACCAACAGAAUAAGCACCGGCUAACUUCGUG
Molecule: ribosomal RNA, 484 nt
Filed under: uncultured bacterium
Lineage: Bacteria
Description: partial 16S ribosomal RNA
Rfam family: Bacterial small subunit ribosomal RNA
Source: RNAcentral